AAAAAAUGUAAACCCUAAAUUUUUGUGUCCAACUUUGACUGUCCGUCUUAUAUGAAAUUUUUUUAUAAUUCGUAUUUUUAUUGUUGUUAGAUGAUAAAACAUGAUUAAUAUUUUAUGCAUGACUUGUCUUUUUAAUUUUUUUCAUAAUUUUUUUAAAUAAGAUGGAUGGUCAAACGUUGGGCACGGAAAUCAGGGUUUGUCUUUUU
This 206-nucleotide microRNA precursor is filed under the name Oryza glumipatula. RNAcentral's name for it is "MIR812 microRNA precursor family". It matches the Rfam family "MIR812 microRNA precursor family". Lineage: Eukaryota; Viridiplantae; Streptophyta; Magnoliopsida; Poales; Poaceae. The record is from Rfam by way of RNAcentral.